AUCCCUGUAGCACAAUGGAUAACGCGUUGGGCUUUUAAUCCAAAGGUCGUGGGUUCAAAUCCCACCUGGAAUG
This 73-nucleotide transfer RNA is filed under the name Trichonephila inaurata madagascariensis. It matches the Rfam family "tRNA". Rfam says of the family: Transfer RNA (tRNA) molecules are approximately 80 nucleotides in length. Their secondary structure includes four short double-helical elements and three loops (D, anti-codon, and T loops). The record is from Rfam by way of RNAcentral. Lineage: Eukaryota; Metazoa; Arthropoda; Arachnida; Araneae; Nephilidae.